Non-coding RNA from Diplogelasinospora grovesii, 83 nucleotides. NCBI's taxonomy places the organism in Eukaryota, Fungi, Ascomycota, Sordariomycetes, Sordariales, Diplogelasinosporaceae. The record is from the annotation of a GenBank genome assembly.
GCCCGCAUGGCUAAGUGGUAUAGCGUAUCACUAGUACGACUAGGAUAAUGAUAAGGUCAUCAGUUCGAUUCUGAUUGUGGGCA